This is an RNA transcript of Rattus norvegicus (Norway rat), 1378 nucleotides long. It is a transcript of the gene named Fc gamma receptor 2A, pseudogene 1, with no coding region annotated. The record is from RefSeq and is a predicted model, not a curated record. Lineage: Eukaryota; Metazoa; Chordata; Mammalia; Rodentia; Muridae.
GUGUCGGAUUCUGAGCGCUGAGCUGGGGACUGAGCACCACCUCAAUGGCUAGCAGCCUUGUGAGAGUGCCAGCAGAUCCUGGGGGCAGCCCAGACAAUGCUUAUCCGGACCGGACUCCAGCCCACUUCUGCCACCUGAAGGGUUCCGGUUCGUGGGCACCGGGAGGCACCAGAGUCUAAGGGCAUCCGGGAAGGGACUGUUCGGCCGGUCCCCGGGCAGCCGCCGGGCGAGAGGAGGAGGCUGCGCCAAACAGACAGCAGUUCAUCUCCUAGACCUCAUCAGACUCUGACCCAGUUCUUGAAUGACUUUGGAGACCCAGAUGUUUCAGAAUGCACAUUCUGGAAGCCAAUGGCUACUCCCACCACUGACAAUGUUGCUGCUGUUUGCUUUUGCAGACAGGCAGACGGCAAAUCUUCCGAAGGCUGUGGUGAAACGUGAUCCCCCAUGGAUCCAGGUGCUCAAGGAAGACACUGUGACGCUGACGUGCGAAGGGACCCACAAUCCUGGAAACUCUUCUACCCAGUGGUUCCACAACCAGAGCUCCACCUGGGGCCAGGUCCAAGCCAGCUACACGUUUAAGGCCACAGUCAAUGACAGUGGAGAAUACCGGUGCCGAAUGGCGCACACCAGCCUCAGCGACCCCGUACAUCUGGAAGUGAUUUCUGACUGGCUGCUGCUCCAGACCCCUCAACUGGUGUUUGAGGAAGGGGAAACCAUCACAUUAAGGUGCCAUAGCUGGAAGAACAAACAGCUGACUAAGGUCUUGUUGUUCCAGAAUGGAAAACCUGUGAGGUAUUAUUAUCAAAGCAGCAAUUUUUCAAUCCCCAAAGCCAACCACAGUCACAGUGGGAACUACUACUGCAAAGCAUAUCUAGGAAGGACAAUGCAUGUGUCCAAGCCUGUCACCAUCACUGUCCAAGGUUCAGCAACGGCAUCCACCAGCUCUCUAGUGUGGUUCCAUGCUACUUUCUGCCUAGUGAUGUGCCUCCUGUUUGCAGUGGACACCGGCCUGUAUUUCUGUGUACGGAGAAAUCUUCAAACCUCGGGGAGGACUGGAGGAAUUCCCUGUCAGUUGGAAAGUACAAGGCUCCACAGGACAAAUGACAUCCCAUCGUAUGGCUAAACAGCGGCAGCUUCUUUUCAGCCACACCGCCGCUUCAUCUACAGCCUUCCUUUGAAAGCAACUUACCACCAGGCUGGAUAUUUGGUCCUGCAAUCACAACUGCUAGGAGGCUGAGGCAGGAGGAUCACCAAAAAAUGUAAUAUAUAUAUUUUAAACAAGAGGUGGGGGAAGGCUGGGGGUUGGUGGCACAGUUUUUAUCCAGGACACAUGAUGCUCUGGGUUUGACCUCCUAUAAUAAAACAGAAAUCAAUCUGG